GAUGAAGAACGCAGCGAAAUGCGAUAAGUAAUGUGAAUUGCAGAAUUCAGUGAAUCAUCGAAUCUUUGAACGCACAUUGCGCCCGUCAGUAUUCUGGCGGGCAUGCCUGUUCGAGCGUCAUUACGCCCCUCAAGUCCCCUGUGGACUUGGUGUUGGGGAUCGGCGAGGCUGGUUUUCCAGCACAGCCGUCCCUUAAAUUAAUUGGCGGUCUCGCCGUGGCCCUCCUCUGCGCAGUAGUAAAACACUCGCAACAGGAGCCCGGCGCGGUCCACUGCCGUAAAACCCCCCAACUUUUUAUAGUUGACCUCGAAUCAGGUAGGACUACCCGCUGAACUUAAGCAUAUCAAUAGGCGGAGGA
This 358-nucleotide unclassified non-coding RNA is filed under the name soil metagenome. RNAcentral's name for it is "partial contains 5.8S ribosomal RNA, internal transcribed spacer 2, and large subunit ribosomal RNA". The stretch from base 1 to 120 matches the Rfam family "5.8S ribosomal RNA", at positions 35 to 154 of the family's 154-position model. The record is from RNAcentral.